GAUUCCGUAGUGUAGUGGUUAUCACGUGCGCCUCACACGCGCAAGGUCCCUGGUUCGAGCCCGGGCGGAAUCA
This 73-nucleotide transfer RNA is filed under the name Patiria miniata (bat star). RNAcentral's name for it is "tRNA-Val". It matches the Rfam family "tRNA". From Rfam's summary of the family: Transfer RNA (tRNA) molecules are approximately 80 nucleotides in length. Their secondary structure includes four short double-helical elements and three loops (D, anti-codon, and T loops). The record is from Rfam by way of RNAcentral. Lineage: Eukaryota; Metazoa; Echinodermata; Asteroidea; Valvatida; Asterinidae.